CUUAAAUACUCCUUUGCUAAUUAAGUUAUUAAAAAUAACCCGUUCAUCAUUAUAGAAUGUAACAGUCAGCAACUCCAUACUAAGUAUUAUCAAAUCAUUAAAUGGUAAGAUAUUUAGAAAAAGAGCCAGUGUUAGAUUGAAAAGUGAAGUUACUGUAGUAGCUUUUGGGACUAAAUUGGUCCAACCUAUUUCUGUUUAUUUUUCUUUUGCUCAGCUAGAUACCAGUUCCACUGCCUACUCAAAUACAAUUGCACAUCACAUGCUAACGUCUGAACUGAUACCAUUCUCCACAUAUUAACGAAAGCGGAUAAUUUUUACAGCUGAAUUCCGUAUUGCCGACAGUUGCAAUUAGAUUCGAAAAAAUUAGCCACUUAUCCUAAAUUCGUUUGAAAACCUGAGACCGGUUAGAGAAAAAAAUAUCAUUUUUCUUAGAUGACUGAUUCUUCAGCUUCUGCGCCUUUCGAAAAUUCGAUCAAUACCUUGGCACAUACCUUGGAUUAAAGAAAGCUGGCGAUAGCUGCCCUGCCUACGUUUAGUCAAAGCAGUAAUCAUUCGUACAAUGUUUAGGAAAUGCAUUAUCGCAACUCGAGACUUUUUUAAUUUGACUAGAAGAAGGGUUAAGUUUCGUAGCCUUCUUGUCUUUUAAUGUAUCUACUGGAGGAAGGAAGAAAUAUGUGUGCACUAACAAUGUCUCGUUGCAUCAAAGACGCUGAGUGUGGUUACCACUCGCCAGCUUCUCUUCACUAAUGCUGGUGAGUAUCUUUUUUUGCGAUCUGCCCUUUACAAAUUUUCGAUUGUUGACUUUGACAAAACCACAGACAGGGCAGCUUCGUCAACAUGGAGCAUUUUUUUCCCACAAGGCAUGUCUGUAUUCUGCCGUGACUGUUAAGGCAGUAAGCAUCUCUUAGUACGAAGCUGGCCUGAUCUUGCGUUUAUGUCUUCAGCAUGUUUUUAAUAAAUGUAUUAACUUAAGGGAAAUAAAAGGUAACGUGCUGAUUUUCGUCCUUCUUGACAGCAAGACGUUCAGGUUUUUGUGGAUGUUGCAAUUGUUGCGGUGGCUUCGGAUGUCCUCAUGUUUGUCAUCACUGCUGUGGCGGUUGCUGUGGCGGUUGCUGCGGAUGUUGCGGCCAUGGUUGCGAAUCGAUAACAUUCCCAGUUGAGUUUGGAGCGUGUGUUGACAAUCCUUGUUGUCAAUGCUGUAAGAAAAAACCGAAGAAAGGUCACUGUCAGUGGCCAUGUAUGUGGCCCUGCUGCUGUGAGUGCAAAGUUCCUGAAUUUAAGUUGAAGCCCUUGAAGCCUAAAGCUGUCCCUAAGGAUUGCCAUACUUGCUGCCAUGGUUGCCAUGGUUGCUGCGGUUGCUGUCACUGCUGCCAUUGUUGCCGUAAGAGUGGAGUUGAUUACAAGCGAUGUCAUAUUCCCCCGAGCAUUACAGAUAUUCAACCGCUUCCAUAUUUCUUCAGUCCCGUGGUUCCUCUCUACUAUGGGGUGCCAUUUCCGCCGCAGUAUCCAUACUAUUACUUCUGAGGACGAACGCCCUAUAGAAGGAUGGCAACGGCAUAUCACAGAAUAAUACAUUAAUUUCGAUUUAAGAUUUCGGACAAUAGUAAAACGUUUUGAUUAAUUAGGGUGUUAAAGUUAUAGAUCUUUAAAUAAAUGUAGUUAGAAAACAUUUACAAAUCAAUCAUUGCUGCAAUAAAGAAACAAUUUGGGACAUGUAAAUAUCUGUUGAAGUUUUGAAGUAUCUAAUGAAGUUUUGAUGUAAUGUUUUCGCCAAAAAUCUUAUAUCUAAGGUACGUGGAUCUCACUAUUACUAUGAUAAAUGUAUUUUUAAGUUAAAAACAAACUAAAUCCAAGUAAAUGUUAUUAAUUAAAAUAC
Molecule: long non-coding RNA, 1876 nt
Organism: Stylophora pistillata
Lineage: Eukaryota; Metazoa; Cnidaria; Anthozoa; Scleractinia; Pocilloporidae
Source: RefSeq, a predicted model, not a curated record